AUCCUUUUGUGGUUCAUAAGCAUGGUAAUUGGGUGUUCACAUGCAUGCAUGACAUGUGCCACCCAAGAACCUUGUCAUGCACUGGUGCAUCACCCGUCUGACG
Nannospalax galili (Upper Galilee mountains blind mole rat) is the source of this 103-nucleotide small nucleolar RNA. RefSeq annotates it as small nucleolar RNA U13. The transcript has a single exon. NCBI's taxonomy places the organism in Eukaryota, Metazoa, Chordata, Mammalia, Rodentia, Spalacidae. The record is from RefSeq and is a predicted model, not a curated record.